GCACUUCUGAUCCGAACUGAGCAGACUCUUCUUCGCUGAAUGAUGACGGAAUCAACGGAGUCCAAAUGGGUCCUGGGGCCACGCCGUUAACGCGUAUUCCUCUUUCAACAAGUUGCAAUGCAAGCCCUCUGGCCUCUGGUGAAUGCCACAAUGGCUCCUUUUGUUGCCGCGUAGUCAAGCAGCUUAGGGUUUCCCUUGUAUGCAACCACUGAUGUUGUGUUGAUUAUGGCGCUCCCUUCAUUCAUAUGCCUCAAUGAAUGCCUGUAAAUCACUAUAAACAUUCGUGACAAAUUUACAAGUUAAGACGACAUAAUUUGCAACCUCUCAAUUUAUUUAUUUUUUUUCUUACCUUGUCAUGAAGAAGUGCGAGAAAAUGUUGGUUCUAAAAACCCUCUCGAGCCUUUCUUCAUCAAUCUCCUCAACCGAGCCCGCCUUGUAUUGCACAGCCGCAUUGUUCACCAAAAUAUCGAUCUUGCCAUACGCAUUCAC
RNAcentral lists this long non-coding RNA (489 nucleotides) under Citrus sinensis (sweet orange). Its description in RNAcentral is "long non-coding RNA (CSIN_LNC001360)". The record is from RNAcentral. Lineage: Eukaryota; Viridiplantae; Streptophyta; Magnoliopsida; Sapindales; Rutaceae.